This 225-nucleotide non-coding RNA is filed under the name Bacillus sp. (in: firmicutes). Its description in RNAcentral is "Bacillus sp. T-box sequence". It matches the Rfam family "T-box leader". Rfam says of the family: Uncharged tRNA acts as the effector for transcription antitermination of genes in the T-box leader family. T-boxes are found upstream of many aminoacyl-tRNA synthetase genes and some amino acid biosynthetic genes usually in Gram-positive bacteria. The anticodon of a specific tRNA base pairs to a specifier sequence within the T-box motif, and the NCCA acceptor tail of the tRNA base pairs to a conserved bulge in the T-box antiterminator hairpin. The record is from RNAcentral. Lineage: Bacteria; Bacillati; Bacillota; Bacilli; Caryophanales; Bacillaceae.
UCAACAGCCAUGACAGGGAACCAGUAAGUAGAACUCAGGCUAAAAGAGAGCAGGAUUCACCGGCUGAAAGAUCCUGCAGCCUGCAAAGCUAUUGAACCUAGCCCUUGAGCUGCCAGGCAAACCUGGCCGAAUUUCCUGCGUUAAAGGAUUUUCAAAGCGGGCACUUGCUGUGUGAAGUGCCAAUGAAGGUGGUACCGCGAAAGACAAAGCUCUUCCGUCCUUUUU